This 902-nucleotide long non-coding RNA is filed under the name Nicotiana benthamiana. RNAcentral's name for it is "long non-coding RNA (NBEN_LNC039992)". The record is from RNAcentral. Lineage: Eukaryota; Viridiplantae; Streptophyta; Magnoliopsida; Solanales; Solanaceae.
UUAUUUUUCCGUUAUAUAUGAUUAACUGCACAGGUUUUUUUCUUUUGCAGAGAAGGGUGUGAAAGCCAAAACAGCAAGGACUCUUCUUUGAAAUUUCUCAACAGGUAACAAAUUCUUCUUUCAUAAAUUUCAACAAAAAGGUAGUAAAAACAACCAUGACCGGAAAAAAACAUACAUUUGGCUAGCGGUGGACAUGUGGGGAGAAGUCAGGUGUCUUCAAUUUUUUAUAAAAAAAAAAAGAAAUCACUGGAUAGAUAUAAAAAAGAAGAGAGGCUUACUAGUAUUUAGAAGAAAUUGGGAGAAACGCGGUAUUAAAAACAACCAUGACCACAAAAAGCAUACAUUUGGCUAGAUGAGGACAUGUGGGGAGAAGUCAAGUGUCUUCAACUUUUUAUUAAAAAAACAGAAAAUCACUGGAUAGAUAUAAAAAAGAAGAGAGGCUUCCGGGUAUUUAGAAGAAAUUGGGAGAAAUUAUAGAGAUGAAGGAGCCUAGCGGAUGGAUGAGACGGAGAAAGAAAAAGUACCGGUAGAAGUUUGAGAGAGUACAAUAUGUGCGAAGCUGGGCUUUCAGUGUUCUUAUGGAGGAACCAUACUAGAAAGAGAAUUGAAAGGCCUUCAAAAAAGAGCAAGGUAGUCCAACGUUGCCGUCGUCUCUAAGUACCGAUCUAGGUUUUUGAUUCUUUUCUUUUUGCUAUGGCGCUUAAGUUUCCCCCUUCUAUUUUUUUUAGUUGUGUUAUUUUCUUUAGUUGUAAAAUAAUAGGUAUAUAUUAAAGCUUUUAUUUUCUUGGAAGUAAAUUAUGAAUAAAAAAUUUAAAUAUUAAGAUUAUAACUAUAAAAUUUGUAGAACUUUCAAAGCUAACUUAUGUAAUUUCAAAUUUUUAAUUAUGACCAUCUCUGUCAAU